Molecule: ribosomal RNA, 253 nt
Filed under: uncultured bacterium
Lineage: Bacteria
Description: partial 16S ribosomal RNA
Rfam family: Bacterial small subunit ribosomal RNA
Source: RNAcentral
UACAGAGGGGGCAAGCGUUGUUCGGAAUUACUGGGCGUAAAGGGCGCGUAGGCGGCCUGUUAAGUCGAACGUGAAAUCCCCGGGCUCAACCCGGGAACUGCGUCCGAUACUGGCAGGCUUGAAUCCGGGAGAGGGAUGCGGAAUUCCCAGUGUAGCGGUGAAAUGCGUAGAUAUUGGGAGGAACACCGGUGGCGAAGGCGGCUACCUGGACCGGUUCUGACGCUGAUGCGCGAAAGCGUGGGUAGCAAACAGG